RNAcentral lists this unclassified non-coding RNA (19 nucleotides) under Mus musculus (house mouse). RNAcentral's name for it is "oocyte_clustered_small_RNA12195". The record is from RNAcentral. Lineage: Eukaryota; Metazoa; Chordata; Mammalia; Rodentia; Muridae.
UGGUUCAAUCAGUUAGGAG